This 252-nucleotide ribosomal RNA is filed under the name uncultured bacterium. RNAcentral describes it as "partial 16S ribosomal RNA". It matches the Rfam family "Bacterial small subunit ribosomal RNA", at positions 524 to 776 of the family's 1533-position model. The record is from RNAcentral.
UACGUAGGUCCCGGGCGUUGUCCGGAUUUAUUGGGCGUAAAGCGAGCGCAGGUGGUUUAUUAAGUCUGGUGUAAAAGGCAGUGGCUCAACCAUUGUAUGCAUUGGAAACUGGUAGACUUGAGUGCAGGAGAGGAGAGUGGAAUUCCAUGUGUAGCGGUGAAAUGCGUAGAUAUAUGGAGGAACGCCGGUGGCGAAAGCGGCUCUCUGGCCUGUAACUGACACUGAGGCUCGAAAGCGUGGGGAGCAAACAGG